Molecule: ribosomal RNA, 484 nt
Filed under: uncultured bacterium
Lineage: Bacteria
Description: bacterial SSU rRNA
Rfam family: Bacterial small subunit ribosomal RNA
Source: RNAcentral
AUUGAACGCUGGCGGCAUGCUUUACACAUGCAAGUCGAACGGCAGCGCGGGGCAACCCUGGCGGCGAGUGGCGAACGGGUGAGUAAUGUAUCGGAACGUAUCCUGUAAUGGGGGAUAACCAGUCGAAAGAUUGGGUAAUACCGCAUACGCACGAGAGUGGAAAGUAGGGGAUCGCAAGACCUUACGUUAUAGGAGCGGCCGAUAUCUGAUUAGCUAGUUGGUGGGGUAAAGGCCUACCAAGGCGACGAUCAGUAGCUGGUCUGAGAGGACGACCAGCCACACUGGGACUGAGACACGGCCCAGACUCCUACGGGAGGCAGCAGUGGGGAAUUUUGGACAAUGGGCGAAAGCCUGAUCCAGCCAUGCCGCGUGCAGGAAGAAGGCCUUCGGGUUGUAAACUGCUUUAGUCUAGGAAAAAGGGGUGCGAGGUUAAUACCCUCGUGCUUUGAUGGUACUGGAAGAAUAAGCACCGGCUAACUACGUG